GGCCCAGGCGGGGACACGCGGGCCUGACCCGGCCUCAGAAGCCGCCCCUCUGUAGGCGCUGCAACGCUUGGGGCCGGAGCGCUGGGAACGACUUCUUACCGAAAGCGUGGGCAGGUCCCCCCACGGCCUCUGAAGCCAUGCCUUGUCCCUGUGAGGUCUGGUGCCAGGUCCUGAUAGGCUUCGGGAUCGCAAAGGAAGUCACGCGGCGCUGGAUGCCGAGGGACCGUUUCAGGGAUGGAGAUACCGCUGGCCCGGGUCCGCCCGCACCAGGCACAGUGCUGCUAAGAGAGAAUCCUAACAAGACAUUUCAGACAGUUGUCACUGUAGGCAAAUGUGUAGUGUGAGACUUGAAUCAUACUCAUGACAUGAGAGGACCUUGUUAAGCCAAAGAAUUAGAAGAGGAAGACUGAAAUAAAGCGCAUAUAUUUGUGCAAGGCCACAGAUCUGAUUACUUGAGAACAUGCUAGAAGAUCCACCUGUCUUUCCUCUAAUGAUCAGUCUUUACUACAGCAUUACUACAGAAUUGCUCUUGAGGCUUGUUGAGGUGAAACAUCCAACAAAGUACACUGCCUCUCUACUAUAUUUGGGAAACAGCUACAACAGUGCUGGAAAAGUGUGCAUCUUAGGAUGACCUGAAGAAGGAAGCCAGGACAGGGGAUGCAUUGCAGUUGAACCUGAAGGAGACAACUCUUCAGUAUCAUCCAGCUCUUUUGGGCCACUCUUCCCUCCACAGUUCUAUCCC
Molecule: non-coding RNA, 742 nt
Organism: Agelaius phoeniceus (red-winged blackbird)
Lineage: Eukaryota; Metazoa; Chordata; Aves; Passeriformes; Icteridae
Source: RefSeq, a predicted model, not a curated record